UAAACCCACCACACAAUAAAAUUUUUGACAGCAUGACAGGGCUAAUAUGUUACUACCCAGCCUGCAAGUGUAAAAUAGAACAAUUCAUACAGUUCACAAAAAUACAACCCAGCUAGUCAUGCCAACACAUUAACAUAAGCCAUCAAUUCAAAUCAUAAAUUUACAACAUACCGGUGGUCUCCAAUUACUCUAUUUUCAAAAUCAUUAUUCAAUUUCAAGACAAUUUAUAAAAUCUUUUCAUUUAAACACAUUUUUGUUUGCAAAACCUAAAAUUAGCCAUUUAACUCAAUUUCAUAAAAUUUUACCAAAACCGAGUUAAAACAUACUUUAGAUAAUUAAAAUGAUAAUAAGGUUACUCACUAUUUCGGGAGUCGAAUUUCUAGAGUACUCUGACUAUCGAUCCUCGGGUACAAUUUUCUUGCCUUUAUCGGAGGAUUCACCACCUAGACAUAGUACAAAAUCGAGAAACUUACUACAUUGGUACUAAAUCGAAAUUAAACUAAUUUAGACUACUAAUGCAUGAUAUGGAAUGCAAAAAUGUCUGAAUAGUCGUUUAAAUACAGUAUUCGACCUAAUUCGCAUUAUUCUCGGUGUAAUUGGCUAAAACCUCCAAUUUAACUCCAAAUCGAUUUUUUUCACUUUCUACACUCCAAUUAUACUUAAAAUACCUCAAUGAUUGUGAAAAUGAUUCAAUUUAUUAGUCCGAACCAUAAAUCGCACAUGUCUAUACAUUAGGUAAAAAUUUGAAUUUUCAUGCCAAAAUUUUCCAUUAAAUUUGUAGCCUCACCAAUCAUUAAAUACCACCAAAAUAUCAUCAAUUUCAGCCUCAAUAUCCUCCCUAGAAAAUUCGGCCAAUGAUGGGUAAUUGGAGAAAAAUGAAUUUUUCUUGUUGAUUUGUUUCUAGACAUGAUAAACUAACCAAAAACACUAACAUAACUUAAAAUCAAAUCAAUCCAAUUUCAUUCUCUCUCCAUACCCAUUCCAACCAGCCAUGAAUUCACCAUGAAAACAUGAAAUUUAACCAUGGAAAAUGAAAAAGAAAGCAUGGGUAGUGUAAAUCAUAAGUCAAAAUCAAGAAAUUUUACCUUUAUUAGCUUAAACCCUUAAAAUCCCACACUUUUUCUUCAAUUUUCCCACCUAGGUUUUGUUCUUUUUUCCUUUCCUCCUUUGUUCUUCUUUGGCUGGCCAUAUGAAUGAGAAAUGGGCUGAUUUUUGCUGAUUUUAAAGCUAAAAAAAUAAAUGGAUAUUAACUUGACAUGUGUCACCAUUUCAUUGGCCCAUUUUUUUAUUUCUUAACUAUUAAGCUUUCUCUCUCCACCAUAUAAAUCCCUUCAAUUAUCCAUGAUUAAAUUGGGUAAAAUCCAUGUGCUGGACAAGUGUCGGGUGUAUAAACUUACAAUUUUGCCCCUAGAAUGAUAAAAUUACCAUUUUACCCCUAUGCUUCGAAAAAUACUGGAAUUAUAAUUUUUUUCACUUAUCAACCUCAAAUGAUACUCCAAUACUCAAAUCAUACUCCAAUAAGUCAAAUGGAGCCAAAAAUCUUUUCUAAAAAUUCUCAUUUUGUCCCCAAGUGGUAGAUGACCAUUUUGCCCCGUAGGUAGUGAAAAUUUCGGUUUGACUCCAAAUUAAUCCUCAAACUCCAAAUUACCAUUUUGAGUCAUCCCUAGACUGUGAAGCUCUUUAUCUCACCUUAAAAUUUCUAUUUGAUCUAGUUCGAGGCUUAAAUCAACUUGGUUGUACCUCUAGGUACAAUACCUACUUUUGUAAAUUUUUUCGAGACUCUCUUAGUAUGCAGUCAUGCUAUCAUCACAUGUAUGUCAUGACAAGCAUUUUAAAAGGUCAGGCUUUACAGCACUAUCCCCCUUAAAAUAAAAUUUUGACUUCAAAAUUUCACUUACCAGAUUCCAAGAAAAUAUGUGGAUAUUGGUUUCUCAUCUGGCGCUCGACUUCCCACGUCAUCUCUUCCAUUUGAGCAUUUUUCCACAAUACUUUCACCAUUGGAAUGCUCUUGUUCCUUAGCACUUGAUCCUUUCGAUCUAGAAUACGUACAAGCUACACCUCGAACUUCAAAUCUUCAUGCAACUCAAUGGGAGGUGUCUCUAGAAUAUAGGAAGGAUCAGGAACAUACUUUUUCAACAUCGAGACAUGGAAAACAUUAUGAAUCUGAUCUAACUCCGAGGGUAAUUCAAGUCUGUAAGCCACUGGCCCAAUCUUUUCAAUGAUACUGAAGGGUCCAAUAUAUCUCGAAUUAAGCUUUCUCCGCUUCGCGAAUCGAAUCACACCUUUCAUUAUCCAAUAAAUACCAUAAAUUAUCACAAUAGUAUAAUCAAAUAAGAUUUAAUACUUGGAAUUCUCAAUUUUUUACCUUUCCAAGGAGAAACCUUAAGAAAAAUUUUAUCGUCAACUUCAAACUCCAAGUCUUUCCUUCGUUUAUCAGAAUAACUCUUUUGCCUAUCUUGAGUUGUCUUUAACCGCUCUCUAAUAAUCUUGAUUUUGUAAUUUGUCAAAUCAAUCAAUUCCACAUUAACCAAUUUCUUCUCUCCCACUUCAUCCCAACAAAGCGGAGUUCGACACUUCCUUCCAUACAAAGCCUCGUAUGGUGCCAUCCCAAUAUUAGACUGAAAACUGUUAUUAUACGCAAACUCCACCAAUUGCAAGUGUCUGUCCUAACUUCUAAUGGAGUCAAUGACACAAGCCAAUAACAUUUCGCUACAAACUCUACUAUGUCUCGUUUCAUACCCGGCCACCAAUAACUUUCUUUAAUAGUCCGAUACAUCUUGGUGCUUUCGGGAUGUAAAGCGUAGGCGGAAGAAUGAGCUUCCUCCAAAAUAGCUCGUCUCAAUUGAUCAUCCUUAGGAACACAAAUUCGGUCUCUAAGCAUGAAAGUACCAUCAUCGCUGAGUCUAAACUCACUAGUUUCUCCAUCUUGCAGCUUUUGAACUUCCUGUUUCAACCAAUCAUCGGAUUUUUGCAAUUCUCUGAUCUGAUUCAAUAAUGAAGGUCUCACAAUGAAACUAGCAAGUAGGGUUCCAUCCUCACCAUUAUUCAACUGGAUCCCUAGAGAUUUCAUCUCAAGUAAUAUCAAAAAAUAAGAACUCUGAAGUACAGCUAAUGAAGAUGAGGAUUUACAACUUAAAGCAUCCGCUACAACAUUUACCUUUCCAUGGUGAUAAUCAAUCACCAAGUCGUAAUCCUUAAUCAACUCCAACCAUCGUCUCUGUCUCAAGUUAAGCUUUUUCUAGGUGAGCAAAUAUUUCAAACUCUUAUGAUCAGUAAAAAUCCGACAAUGCUCACCAUAUAAAUAAUGUCUCAAAAUCUUCAAUGCGAAGACUACUGCUGCUAACUCAAAGUCAUGAGUAGGGUAAUUCAUCUCAUGUUUCUUCAACUGCCAGGAAGCAUAAGCUAUUACUUUCUCAUCCUGCAUCAACACACACCCUAAUCCCAACUUAGAUGCAUCACUGUAUACCACAAAUUCUUUUCUAUUAACAAGAAGUGUUAAAACGGGAGCGGAGGUUAACCGGUUCUUUAGCUCCUGAAAUUGAUUCUCACAAGCAUUAUCCCACUCAAACUUAACUCCUUUACGAGUCAAACGAGUCAGAUGAGCUGCUAUUAAUGAAAAUCCCUGAACAAAUCUCUGAUAAUAAUCGGCUAAGCCAAGGAAAUUACGAAUCUCAGUUACCGUUCUCGGUUGCUCCCAUUGUAAGAUGGCCUCAAUCUUCUUGGGAUCAACAUAAAUUCCAGCUCCAGACACAACAUGUCCCAAGAAAACCACUUCCUUUAACCAGAACUCACAUUUAGAGAACUUAGCAUAGAGUUCUCUCUCACGCAAAGUUUGCAACACAAUGCGCAAAUAGACAACAGGUUCAUCAUUGUUCUUCGAAUAAAUCAGGAUGUCAUCAUGAAUACUAUCAUGAAAUUAUCCAAGUAUGGAUAGAACACCCUAUUCAUAAGAUCCAUAAAAACUGCCGAGGCAUUAGUCAAACCAAACAGCAUCACCAGAAACUCAUAAUGCCCAUAACGCGUCCUGAAGGCAGUUUUUGGUACAUCCUGCUCCUUAAUCCUCAACUGAUAGUACCUAGAUCUCAAAUCAAUCUUAGAGAAUACCAUAGCCCCUCGUAAUUGAUCAAAAAGAUCAUCAAUUCGGGGUAAAGGGUAUUUAUUCUUGAUGGUCACUCGGUUCAGCUGACGGUAAUCGAUACACAAUCGAAGAGUGCCAUCAUUCUUCUUUACAAAUAGGACUGGUGCUCCCCAAGGAGAAAUGCUAGGGUGAAUGAAACCUUUAUCCAUAAAAUCUUGCAGCUGGACCUUCAGUUCCUUCAACUCUGCUAGAGCCAUUCUAUAUGGAGGAAUAAAAAUAGGUGCGGUACCCAGAAGUAAUUCAAUAGGGAACUCAAGCUCUCGAUCAGGAGGUAGUCUUGGUAACUCAUCAGGAAAUACAUCAAGAAACUCACUUACUAUUGGGACAUCCUCUAACUUAGGUUCCCCCUUUGAAGUAUCAAUCACGUGUGCCAAAUAAGCUGGAUACCCUUUUUGCACUAAUUUCAAAGCUUUGAUGGCCGAGAUUACACAGGAUGGUAAUACUCGAUGUUCCCCUACAAAUACAAUCUCUACUCCCUUCGAAUUCCAAAGAACAACUUCUUUUCGGAAAUAAUCUACGUUCGCUUGAUGUGUAGUUAACCAGUCCAUACCCAAUAUUAGAUCAAAAUCCAGGAUCUCUAGAGAAAUUAAGUCACCCCUAAAUUCUUCCUCACUUACCCUUACCCCACAAUCUCUAUAACAGGUAUUUCUAAUCAACUAUUCUCCUAGAAGGGUAUGCACUACAAUUUCUCCCUUUAAUGGUGACAGGUUUCUAUCAGCAAUUGAUGCAAAUGCCGUACUCACAUAAGAUCUAUCUGAGCCAGAAUCUAUCAAAACAUAAGCAUCUUUAUCAAAUAAAGACAUAAUACCUGUCACUGCUCCAAGUCAAACCCGUGCCUUAUCUUCUGUCACUACGAAAACUCUUGUCGAAGUACGAGUCUGUGAUUUUGAAAGUGGAUGUGCCGAGAUAUUACUCACCACAUCGGACCGUAUGGCUACUCCUUAUCUCGAUGGUAAUCUAGAAGAAUCUCUCUUUUGCAUAUCAGUGCGAGCUGGUGGAGAUGAUUCAGCUACAGUGGCUAGUCCUAGCCAUGGGCAAUUACUCCUAAUAUGACCCAACUGACCACAAUGAAAAUAUAGUGCAGGCCCCCUACACAACCCAACAUGAUAAUUCUCAUAAUUUCUGCAUCUGUCAGAACCUCCGAAACUCUUCCCAGAACCAGUCAUAGCAGAUCUGCUAAACCUCGAAGGUCUCUGCUGUGAUGGUGGAAAUGGAGGUCGAGGAGAUGUCACUGAAACAGAAGUAGUGCUCCCUGAAGUCGCUAAGUCCUUGCCUCUCCUUGGUGGUUGACUAGAAGAUACACCAAGAUUCCUUCUUUUUGCAAACUUGAUCCGAAUCCUCCUAUUCUCAGUCACGAGCUUCUCAGCCCGUAAAGCCAUCUAUACCACCUCCUUAUGUGGCUCCCUACCUGUAAAACCAAACCUUAUAAAUACAUGUACUGAGUAGCAUGUUAUUAUGUUAGGAAAGCACAUAAGAAAAGACGAAACCCGAUAUCGUACCUAAUGGUACACUUGAGUUGAUUUAACCUCGAACUAGUUCAAAUAGGAAUUGUAGGAUGAAAUUUAAUAUUUUAUAGUCCAAGAAUGACUAAAAAAUGAUUGUUCGGAGUUCGAGGGUUCAUUUGGGGUAAAAUUGAAAAUUUUGAUGUUCAAGGGCAAAAUCGUCAUUUUGCCACCUAAGAUAAUAAUUUGAUCAUUGAGUGAAAUUUUUGACCAAGAUUAACUAUUUGGAGUAUAAUUUAAUGAUAGGAAGUGAAAAAGUUUAAUUCUGGUGAUUUUUGGAGUGUAGGGGCAAAAUCGUAAUUUUGCCACCCACGGACAAAAUUUGAGAUUUUGAGAGAAUUUAGAUCAAAUUUGACAAAUUGGAGAAUGGUAUGAGUAUAAGGGAUGAAAAAUAUGUCUAUGGGCAAUUUUUCAGUUUUUUGGGCAAAAAUGUAAUUUUUCACUUUUACGGGGGCAAAAGUGUAAAUUUCAAAAAUUACUCCACCGAGACUUUGGAUAAGUCUGAGAAUUUUAUCUAAGCUAUGGAUAUGUGGGACAAGUGUAUGGUGAAAAUUUGGAAACAAAUGGAUGAAAUUUUAAAAAUGGGCCAAUGGGAAAGUGACACGUGGCAUUUUUUAAUGAAAUAAUAUUAUUUUAAUGAAAAGUCAGCCCAUUUAAACCCAAAUUUUGAGUGCUGGCCGGCCAUAAGGAAGAACAAGAGAGGAAAUAGAGAGGAAAGGAAGAAAAAAAGAAAAACCAAAGAGAAACAAGAAAAUUCAAAGGGAAAUUCGCGGUUUUCGACCGUUUACGCGUCUAACGGUAAGAUUUUUCGAUUUUAGCUUGAUUUCUACCUUUCCUAUGCCUUUAUUUCCAUUUAGCAUGCUUGAGGAGAGAGAUCAAAAAGUGAUAUCAAGGGCUGGACGAAAUUCUAGGGGAGAGAAAUUGAAAUUUUUAGGUUUUGAUUUUUAGUUAAAUUGAUAGUUUUAGUUAGUUAAAUGUGUUUAGAAAUUAAAUUGGGCAAGAAAUCAUUAAAUUUUCACAAUACCCACUCUUGGCUGGAUGCUCAAUGCUGUACAAUGAUGAUGAAUUGAUUUUAUUCUAAGGGAAAUGAAGAGAAAAUGAUGAAAAACGAUUAAACGUGAUAGAAAAACAAAGUAGAAAAUUAACCGAGUUAAUGUCCCAUUUUUGGCCGAAUUUUCCAAGGAAGGGAGUGAGCUGAUUUUGUUGUUUUUAGAAGGUUAUUGGCUGAUAUUUAAUGGUUAGAAAUGUUGGAGAGAGAAUGGGAUGAUUUAGAGCUAAAAUGGAGCGCGUUAGCAAUUUAUCGGGCAAAGUGCCAAAAAUAGGUUAAUACCGCGUUUAAGCCGUUUUAGGCUAUUGCAUUUCAUACCAUGCAUUAGUAUAGGAUUUAAGUUAAUUAUAUAGUGAUUUAGCAUCAAUGUGAUGAAUUGUGUAAAUUUUUGUAAUGUGUCUAGGAGGAGAGCCUUCCGGAAAAGGCAAAGAAGUCGUACCCGACGAGUAGUGAUCGGGGCGCUUAGAAAGCUUUUAGUUUGUACAAACGGUGAGUAAACUUAUUAUUAUUGUAAAUUAUCUAGAGUUUAUUUUAAAUGCCCUUUAUGUAUUUUAUGAAAUGAGAACGAGAUUAAAACGGGAUUUUUGAUGUUUUAGGAAUAAAUGUGACAAAUAAAAAUAUAUUGUAUUGAUUAUGAAAUUGAGUAAUUGGAGGCUACAAAUUGACUUGAAAAAUAUAUAUUUUCCUAGGAAUGGCUUAUGAGAAAUGAGUAUAUGUGGCUAUAUUUUGUGAAUGCAUUGGGAAAUUUAUGUAAGUUGUUUUACUAUGCAGGCUGGAUAAAUAAAUAAAAGCCACGUUAUACUGUCGAAAUUUUAUUAAAAUUGGUGGGUUAGUCACUGCAGUGACGGGUUUCCGUGGACUGCCUAUUAGAGGGGCACGGUAAACCCAGUUAUAUAGUUACUCCGGUUGUAGAGGCGAGGAGGGUAACUCCCGGGGUAGUAUUAGAGCUCACUUCACGUCGAACCCCCACGUGAAUGUGUAACUCGGCCAACGCCAAGGAACGGCUGGUUUUAAAAAUAAAAAUGUGUUUCACGUGUGAAUAUUUUAACACCCUUGGCGGACUCGGUUAGAUGCCUCGGCCAAGGUAUCCCCGAGGAUUAGUUUUGGCUUGAGCCUUGUUUUAAUAAAAGACAUAAGCCUUAACAACUGUUUUGGUAAAUUACAAAUAUUUUAUGGUUUAAGAAAUAAAUUGAAAACAUUAUGAAAUGGGUUGAAAUUUGUUGUUUAAACUUGCCUCCAUUUUACUCGCCUUUAGAUAUUUAUGAUAAUGUCUGUUUACUCAUUGGGAUUGCAAAAUCUCACCCAACUCCUUUCCACCCAUUUCAGGUUCAGUAUAGACUGUAGAUAGCUGAUCUCAUCGAGGACUACCAUUGGAUCUGCAUUUUCCAAACCGUAGGUUCACAGUCCUCUUUACUUUUGUUUAUUCGGGGGCCCUCUUGUUAUUGUAAAUUAAAUUAAAUAUUUUGGCUUACUGUAUUUCAGUAUGUAUAAAUUUAUUUAGCUUUUACGCUAUAAAAAUUAUUCACGUAUAACUCUAUAAAUAUUGUUUUAUAAGAAAAUAGAAUAUUUUCCUUAAUAUUUCUUUUAUUUUCUUAUUAUAUUCAAAUAACCAUAAUUUCGUUUUAAAUGAAGAUUUUAGACUUUUAAACUCAUUUUGAAUAUGAAUUAUGUGUUUUGUACUUGUAUAUUACGUUUUAGCCAGUUUCAAAAUUUUUGAGAAAAAAAUGACCAAAAUACCCCUGUGUGGUGAAAAUUUUAUUUUGAUUGUUUUUGAUCUAAAAUAGUGUAUAUUCUCUAAAAACUCGAUAUUUAACAACGAUUGCUCACAAGAAAGGAAAGAAACUAAUAUGUAAGCCUUGCGGGGUUCCGGUUGGCAUUCUGGAUAAUGAGUGUCAAUUGGGGACGUCGCGGCCAUUGUCAUGGGCCUGAGGGAGGUUCCGGGUUGUGACAUUACCAGUCACUGUCAUCCACUCUUUAAUCUCAUUAUGGAGCCCUUCCUCGAAAUAACUGACUUGAUCCUGCUCAGAUUUCACCAGAUCUGGCACAUAUAACAUCAACUUGUUAAAACGAGUCUUGUACUCCUCUACAGUUAGAUUUCCUUGUUUCAAGCUCAGAAAUUCUCUUUUCUUUUCUUUCUGAUGGAAAUAAGUGAAAUACUGACUAUCGAAUUCUCUGAGGAAGUCAGACCAUGUCUGAAGAGUAGUGGAACGGGACUUCACCGAAUUCCACCAAGUACGAGCCCUCUUCUCUAAUAAUCUCGUAGCCACCAUCAGCUUCAUGUCGUCGUCUAAUCCCAUAUCAAAGAGAGUCUCUGAAACCUGAUUAAUCCAGUCUUUUACCACAAUGGCAUCCAACUCACCCGUGAAAGACACACAACCCAAUUGUCUAGCCUCCUUUAGCUUCUUGGAAAUGGAUACAUCUUGUACUGACGGAACUGAAGGAGUAGUUGGAGGCACUAUAGGUGGAACUUAACCAGUCUGAGCUUGACCAGCCAUUGCGGUAAAGAAAGCUGCCAAUGCCUGUGCUGCCUCAGUAGGCAUGGUAGGAAUACCAGUGGGUGGUUGAGGAGAUAGAGGAUGUGGAGGACUAUCGGCCUGCUCAGUAGCUGGUGCUGCACGAAUAGUGGAUGCAGCCGAUUCCUCUCCUACUGCAUCUGGCUGAAGACGUUGGGAACGAUCUCUUCCCCUCCCAGCCAAUCUAGUGAGAGGAGGGCAUCCACGUCGAGGAGGCAUUAUAAUCUAUAAAAGAAUACGAGUAAGUUUAGGCAACCUUAGGCUCUAUAUGCAGAUGCAUGCAUUCUAUUCAACCUAACCUAACUUAAUCUGGGGCCACAUUGAUAUUGUAAAUUUUUAAAAUAACUUUAAAACCAAAAAAACCAAAAGCUCUGAUACCAAUCGAAUUGUCAUGACCCGGUACUCCCCUCGAGCCCGUGAUAAUCGCCUCGGUGUCCCGAUAGAUACUCAUUACCCGGAAUGUCAACCUGAAACCCCACAAGGCUUUAAUAUCAGUUUCUCAUUUCCCUUGUGAGCAACCAUUGUCAAAUAUCGUGUUCUAAAAGAUUUUAAGCUGUUUCCAACUUAAAACAAAUAAAAUAUUAAUUUCGUCUCACAGGGGUAUUUUGGUCAUUUUUUUAAAAAUUUCGAAACCAGCCAAUAAUGUAGUAUAUAAGUGCAGACCACAUAUUUCAAAAUCAAAAAUAAAUUUAGAUGUCUAAAACAUUCGUUUAAAACAAAAUUAUGAUUAUUUGGAUAUAAUAAGAAAAUAAAAUAAAUAUUAAGUAAAAUAUUCUAUUUUCUUAUUAAACAAUAUUUUCAGAGUUAUACGUAGAUAAUUUUUGUAGCGUAAAAGCAAAGUAAAUUCAUACAUACUGUAAUACAAUAAACUAGAGUAUUUAAUUUAAUUUACAAUGACCAGUGGGCCCCCGAAUAACCAAAAGUAAAGAGGACUGUGAACCUACAAUUUGAAGGAAUGCAAAUCGAAGGGUAGUCCUCAAUGAACUCAGCUAUCUACAGCCUAAUCUGAACCUGAAAUGGGUGGAAAGGAGAAUGGUGAGAUUUUAUAAUCCCAGUGAGUAAACAAGCAUCAUCCGAAAUAUCUAAAGUCGAGUAAAAGGAGACAAUUAAAAUAUUUCAUCUGAAUAUGUAUUUCAUAACAUAAAUAUUCAUUUCAUUUAAAUAUUCAACAUGGCUUAUGAGUAUCUUAAAAGCUUGGCUCCUGCCAAAAUCAUUCUCGGGGAUACCUUGGCCGAGGCAUCUAACUAAGUCCGCCAAGGCUGUUAAAAAGUUCUUAUACACGUAAACAUAUUUUUAGUUUGAAAAACACAACCAUUCCUUGGUGUUAGUGGAGUUCAUAAUCACAAGGUGGUUUGGCAUGACGUGAACUCUGUCCAUACCUCAGGAGAUACCCUACGCACCUCUCCGACCAAGGUACAUAUAUAUAUCUGGAUUAUGUGCCCCUUUAAUAGGCUGGUCCACAAAAUCCGCCUACUGCAGCAAGCUAAACCCACCAUACAAUAAAAUUUUUGACAGCAUGACAGGGCUAAUAUUUUACUACCCAGCCUGUAAGUGUAAAAUAGAACAAUUCAUACAAUUCACAAAAAUACAACCCAACUAGUCAUGCCAACACAUUAACAUAAGCCAUCAAUUCAAAUCAUAAAUUUACAACAUACCGGUGGUCUCUAAUUACUCUAUUUUCAAAAUCAUUAUUCAAUUUCAAGACAAUUUAUAAAAUCUUUUCAUUUAAACACAUUUUUGUUUGCAAAACCUAAAAUCAACCAUUUAACUCAAUUUCAUAAAAUUUCACCAAAUUUGAGUUAAAACAUACUUUAGAUAAUUAAAAUGAUAAUAAGGUUACUCAUUAUUUCGGAAGUCGAAUUUCUAGAGUACUCUGACUAUCGAUCCUCGGGUACAAUUUCCUUGCCUUUAUCGGAGGAUUCACCACCUAGACAUAGUAAAAAAUCGAGAAACUUACUACAUUGGUACUAAAUCGAAAUUAAAUUAAUUUAGACUAUUAAUGCAUGAUAUGGAAUGCAAAAACGUCCGAAUAGCCGUUUAAAUACGAUAUUCGACCUAAUUCGCACUAUUCUCGGUGUAAUUGGCUAAAACCUCCAUUUUAACUCCAAAUCGAUUUCUUUCACUUUCUACUCUCCAAUUAUACUUAAAAUACCUCAAUGACUAUGAAUAUGAUUCAAUUUAUCAGUCCGAACCAUGAAUCGCACAUGUCUAUACAUUAGGUAAAAAUUUGAAUUUUCAUCCCAAAAUUUCCCAUUAAAUUUCUAGCCUUACCAAUCAUUAAAUACCACUAAAAUAUCAUGAAAUAUCAUCAAUUUUAGCCUCAAUAUCCUCCCUAGAAAAUUCGGCCAAUGAUGAGUAAUGGGAGAAAAAUGAAUUUUUCUUAUUGAUUUGUUUCUAGACAUGAUAAACUAACCAAAAACACUAACAUAACUUAAAAUCAAAUCAAUCCAACUUCAUUCUCUCUCCAUACCCAUUCCAACCAGCCAUGAAUUCACCAUGAAAACAUGAAAUCUAACCAUGGAAAAUGAAAAAGAAAGCAUGGGUAGUGUAAAUCACAAGUCAAAAUCAAGAAAUUUUACCUUUAUUAGCUUAAUCCCUUGAAAUCCCACACUUUUUCUUCAAUUUUCCCACCUAGGUUUUGUUCUUUUUUCCUUUCC
RNAcentral lists this long non-coding RNA (11858 nucleotides) under Theobroma cacao (cacao). RNAcentral describes it as "long non-coding RNA (TCAC_LNC004900)". The record is from RNAcentral. Lineage: Eukaryota; Viridiplantae; Streptophyta; Magnoliopsida; Malvales; Malvaceae.